AACGAACGCUGGCGGCAGGCCUAACACAUGCAAGUCGAGCGCUCUCUUGGACUUCGGUUCAACGGGGGAGCGGCGGACGGGUGAGUAACGCGUGGGAAUGUGCCUCUGGGUGCGGAACAACCGUUGGAAACGACGGCUAAUACCGCAUGACGACUUUGGUCCAAAGAUUUAUCGCCCAGAGAUCAGCCCGCGUUGGAUUAGCUAGUUGGGGGGGUAACGGCCCACCAAGGCGACGAUCCAUAGCUGGUUUGAGAGGAUGAUCAGCCACACUGGGACUGAGACACGGCCCAGACUCCUACGGGAGGCAGCAGUGGGGAAUCUUGGACAAUGGGCGCAAGCCUGAUCCAGCCAUGCCGCGUGAGCGAUGAAGGCCUUAGGGUUGUAAAGCUCUUUCACCGGUGAAGAUAAUGACGGUAGCCGGAGAAGAAGCCCCGGCUAACUCCGUGCCAGCCGCCGCCGUAAUAC
RNAcentral lists this ribosomal RNA (465 nucleotides) under uncultured bacterium. RNAcentral describes it as "bacterial SSU rRNA". It matches the Rfam family "Bacterial small subunit ribosomal RNA", at positions 29 to 526 of the family's 1533-position model. The record is from RNAcentral.